Molecule: ribosomal RNA, 452 nt
Filed under: Setaria tundra
Lineage: Eukaryota; Metazoa; Nematoda; Chromadorea; Rhabditida; Setariidae
Description: partial 12S ribosomal RNA
Source: RNAcentral
UUUAAUUUUUAACUCUAUUUUUGUGGCGCUUUCUAUUUGUUUUUAUUUUUUAUUUUAUUUUUUGUAAAAUGUUGUAAUUUUGUUUUUAUUUUAGGGAGUGUUUAAAAUUUGGUUUUUGAACUGGAUUAGUACCCAGGUAAACAAAAUUUAUUAAUGCGGGAGUAAAGUUUUUUUUAAACCGAAAAAAUAUUGACUGACCUUGGAUUUUUCUUUGGAAUAUGUGUUUUUGGAGAGCCCUCCUUGUUUGGUGACUUUAUUGGUGCAUGUAUGAUUGUUUAGUUUUUAUUUUGUUUGUAAUGCUAUUUAUUUUUUAUUAAAAACAGAUAUAUACUUGGCUUAUGGGUUACUUUUCAUGUAUUACUAUUAUUAAUUUUUUUCGGAUUAAUUUUUUAUUUUAUUUUGAAGUUGGAAAAGAAAGUAAUUUUUUUUUUAUGUGAUAAUGAAUUUAAUAA